UCGGGCGUGGUGUACGGAACACCGCGGGCCUUCAUAAAAGUUCGGGGACACCAUAUGACCUCGCAGUCCGGGGUUCGACUCCCCGCGCCCGAC
Non-coding RNA from Mycena vulgaris, 93 nucleotides. NCBI's taxonomy places the organism in Eukaryota, Fungi, Basidiomycota, Agaricomycetes, Agaricales, Mycenaceae. The record is from the annotation of a GenBank genome assembly.